Musa acuminata AAA Group (dessert banana) is the source of this 2733-nucleotide RNA transcript. It is a transcript of the gene named ubiquitin carboxyl-terminal hydrolase 6-like, with no coding region annotated. Lineage: Eukaryota; Viridiplantae; Streptophyta; Magnoliopsida; Zingiberales; Musaceae. The record is from RefSeq and is a predicted model, not a curated record. The transcript has 5 exons.
CGCCAUAUAUAUCGCUCUUUCUUGGGGAAUCGCGGAAUCUUUUCUUCUCUCCAUCGCCCGCCGGUCGUCAAGGAAGGCCUCAUUUCGCCGCCCAACGAAACCCUCUCCCUUUCUCUCUUCUCGCUUCGAUUCCUCCGUCGCCGCGUUAUCCGAGGAUAGGAGCUUGGAUUCAUCGAACAUGCCGACCGUUAGUGUCAAAUGGCAAAAACAAAUCAUUCCAGCCAUGGAAAUCGGCACUAGUCAACCUCCCUUUGAAUUUAAAAGUCAAUUGUGUGCUUUAAGUGGUGUACCCCCUGAGAGGCAAAAAAUUAUGGUCCAGGGUGGCCUUCUGAAGGGUCAGAAGUUGAUGAUGAUGGGCACUGCAGAUGAAAUAGUGCAAGCUCCAUAGAGAGGUCCUGUAUUUAUGAAGGAUUUCCCAGAAGAAGACCAAGUAGUAGCUUUAGUGAGUCUUAAUUGUAUCAUCAUCAAUCUAAGAAUCAUCCAGUUGCUGUGAUUCAUCAGAAUUCGUGUUGGACUUUUGGAUUUCCAAAAUUGACCAUCAAAUUGAAUGAUGCUAAAAUAUGCAAGAUCAGGAUCAGUUUUAUGAUUAGCAAUAGGAGUCAAGAUAGGAAUGUCUGACCAAAUGAGUUGAUCUUUGCUAUGCCAGCUGGGUAAGCUGAGCGAUGAAAGGAAUGACAGCUUGAACAACCCUUGUUAAAGUUGAGCUUGUUGGGUUAGGUUAAUGAAUGCUUCGAUGAGAAUUGUGAUACUGGGUGGGAGUGGAGUAACUGAUGGGUGGUUGAUUGCCGCAUUAUGGAAUAGUCGAUGGAAGGUAUAAAUCGGGAAGGUGGGGUUUUCGAUGGAUCCUAAAGUAAGAUUGGGGAGAGUUGGAUCCUCCUUAUUGCCCAAGAGGGACCUACAUGAUUUUCCUUGGACAUAUUGGGAGGGGCCCUCCGUUAAGCGCUAAUAUGUUAAAGCAGAUUUUGGUUGUUCGAUUGGAAUGCUGAUUUGGAACCAACCAAGCUCCUACUCUUUUCAUCUUAGCGGAAGGUGGUAUUAGGUUGAGAGGUUUCGUGAUUGUCUAAUUUGGAGCUACGUUGAACCCUACGAAACUGUGUCGGGCAUGCUCAACAAAGCUCCUGAAGCUUAAGUUAGCACUCGAAUAAGUGGUUUUAGCUAGACAUCGAGUUUGUAUAGGUUGAAUAUACUAAAAAGAGACCAGCUCAGAGAACAUGCCUAAGGAACCCUUCUAUAUUGGGGUUUAGGAUAAUUUCACUUGAGGCUGUGGUUUAAGUCAAAAAUGGCUAUGUGUCUUCUCUGGUGUUGGGUGUCAUUGUUAUACAUCGAAUCCAGAGAAUAUGAUACGAUUGUGAGUGGGUCGUAACGUCUGGAGGGUGACAUCAUGUCAGCCACAUGGUGGUGAGGUGUCAACCACGUGUUUGACGAGCCGUCAACCAUGUGAUGGAGUGUCAACCACACGGUGAGGAGGCGUCCACGAUCAUUAUUUUGCAGUCAUUAUACCCAUAUCAUCGUCCAACCAUAAUUUGCAGUCACUAACCUCAUGAGAUCAACAAAGUCAGAUCUGCACCUGAGUCGGACCUUACUUUAAUGGAUUUAUUUGGACCAUAUAGAGGUCUAACUGCAUUUCUAGUUUGGUAUUUUAAUCUUACCUUCUCAUCAGUCAAAAUUAUGGUGUCUGAAUUUCACACCAUUAAACUUCAAGGGUUAUAUGUCAUGUAUUACAUCAUAUAACGUGUUAUAUGGGAAUCAUAAUUCCAUGUCGUUUGUCAGUUGUGUGACUCCAUUGUUGAUGCAUGAUUGAAAACUUUUCAUGUACACUUUGAGUUGUCGUUUCAUUGGCCAUCUAUUGUUGUUUAAUAACUUGAUUAUUGACAUUUUUAUGAGGUAAUGUUUCUGCAUCCAUAUGCAUGCAUGCACGUGAACUACAUUGACAGAGAGAGAAAUAGACCUAAUUGUUUUCAUCAAUUGUACCAUCUUUGCCACAUUGCCAAACACAAAUUCAGAACUUGUAUAAAGGUUCCACUAAGGAUCCUCUUCCCACUUGAAGAAGAGCAGGCCUGCUGUGUGUGGCUUCACAUGGUACAGGCACCAGACCAGAGCACUGUGGAUGUGCCGCUGCAUGAUUAAUGCUUACGUAGGUUCAUAAAGCUCAUCUGUAGUCAUCAAACGACUCCUGAAAAUGAAAUUUGAAAUGGCUUUCUUAAGUUCAUUAAGCGUACUAUCCAUAAAACAUUGGGAAGUCCCUCUGUUAUCAUUCAACUUUCAAGUUUCAUGAAGAGAGAGCUAAUCGCUUGCCACAGAAUUGCUUGAUCAUCUUUACUGUGUUGUGUUCUGAAGAAAAGGUGCAGUUAACUGGAAUUUAUGACGUGGUCGCUGUGUUGACUCACAAGGGAAGGAGUGCCGACUAUGUCUUCUGGGUGAAACAAGAAAAUGCUCCUUUUGACGCAGGAAAAUGGAUUCAGUACGAUGAUCACAAUCCAAUCCCGCGAAGGGUAGAAAGGAUAUUACAAAGCUAUCUGGCGGCAGUAAAGACUCUUCAAGAGAAAUCACAAGUGAUUGGCACAUGGCAGAAACAUCUGCAUGGAUAAAAGCCCAAGCUGGUUUGAUACGAUGGAACAUUGAGAAAAAAAAAAAAAGAAGAAAAUUUUAAGAUGAAAAUGCCUCUAUAUUGUUUGUAAUAUAACCUAUUUUGUAUUGAUUAUUGUUUGAUAUAUGGUCCCCUCAAGUGUGCUA